GAUGAACGCUGGCGGCGUGCCUAAUACAUGCAAGUCGAGCGAACAGACGAGGAGCUUGCUCCUCUGACGUUAGCGGCGGACGGGUGAGUAACACGUGGAUAACCUACCUAUGACUGGGAUAACUUCGGGAAACCGGAGCUAAUACCGGAUAAUAUAUUGAACCGCAUGGUUCAAUAGUGAAAGACGGUUUUGCUGUCACUUAUAGAUGGAUCCGCGCCGCAUUAGCUAGUUGGUAAGGUAACGGCUUACCAAGGCAACGAUGCGUAGCCGACCUGAGAGGGUGAUCGGCCACACUGGAACUGAGACACGGUCCAGACUCCUACGGGAGGCAGCAGUAGGGAAUCUUCCGCAAUGGGCGAAAGCUUGACGGAGCAACGCCGCGUGAGUGAUGAAGGUCUUCGGAUCGUAAAACUCUGUUAUUAGGGAAGAACAAAUGUGUAAGUAACUAUGCACGUCUUGACGGUACCUAAUCAGAAAGCCACGGCUAACUACGUG
RNAcentral lists this ribosomal RNA (495 nucleotides) under uncultured bacterium. RNAcentral's name for it is "partial 16S ribosomal RNA". It matches the Rfam family "Bacterial small subunit ribosomal RNA", at positions 28 to 507 of the family's 1533-position model. The record is from RNAcentral.